Molecule: RNA transcript, 4269 nt
Organism: Oreochromis niloticus (Nile tilapia)
Lineage: Eukaryota; Metazoa; Chordata; Actinopteri; Cichliformes; Cichlidae
Gene name: membrane-spanning 4-domains subfamily A member 8
Exons: 7
Source: RefSeq, a predicted model, not a curated record
CGAUUUCCCGGAUCAGACGACACAGUUUCGCUCCCUGCCGCUGAUAGCAGCGCACUCACUUUGGACUUUCAAACAUUUACAGGAGUAAAGUGAAGCUUCUUCCGCUCUACAGCAGAUCAACAGUUUUCUCUCUGUAGUGGCCGGGCCGGAGAGGAGAAGAGCUGCUGGAGCAGAGCACUGGUGCAGAUCUGGAGCCGAAGGAGUGUGCGCUGGAAAGUGCAAAAAGUGAUAUUGUAGCAAAUAAACAAAGGCAAAACGCAAGUUUCUGCAUCAUGUCAGGUCCUUUGGGUUACAGUGGUGCUGAAACCCAAGCUCCUCAGAUGACCCUCAAGCAAUUCUGGAGGUGUUCCAGGGAACCACGGUCGCAUACUGGUGGAAGCCCAGGUGGUGGCACUGAGCCUUCUCACAACGGUGUACGUGUCCUUUCUGACGUUAGGAGAGCCAUCCUGGACUGGCUGGGGCUCUCCCCUGAGGACCAUCGGCACCCCUUCCAGAUGGGAUGGAUGGGGCCGGAGGACUGGCAUUGGCGUUUACCAGGAGGCUGCAUGGUGCUGCAGCCAGGUGGCUACAGCCUGCCCCCACGCCAGGGGCGAUGCAGCUGCUCAAGACGGUAGUGCUGGAGCAAUUCAUGAAGGGACUUCCAGUCGGGAUGGCGCAGUGAGUCUGCUGCCAUCGGCUGGCAAGCCUCGAGGCUGCGGUGACGCUGGCCUAGGACCAUCUGGGAGCGCAAUUGGAACAUCCACAGGAACGUCCACCAGUGACGGGCUGACCGGUCCCAGCCCCCACCAGCCCAACCCACAGCCAUGGAGCGGAAGCCAUUUCUGCCUCAUUUGUCUCACACACUAAAAGAUUACUGGGCAAUAAAUCUAUUCGGACCAGCAUCUACCACCCUCAGACUGACUGGUGGAGCGGCUGAAUAAGACUUUAAAGUCCAUAAUUAUCUCCAGGAUCUACAGGCAGGAUGUCUGCCACUGUGUCCAAGGCUGAUGGAGUCACAAUACUCACCUUGACCUCUGACCCUAAUAGCCCUUGGCCUCCUCUGUGCCAGAUCCUCAAGAACCUUUGCUGCAGUCCAGUGUGCUGCAAAGUGUCUCAGCACCUGAGGCGCCUCAAAAGACCUUCUGAGAUAGUGCUGGGGACUCUGCAGAUCAUGAUUGGGCUUCUCAAUGUUGUCCUCGGAUCAAUCCUUAUAAGCCAACAUGAUGAAUCAUGGACCAUGAGUUAUACCGGCUAUCCUUGUUGGAUGGGAGGGUUGGUGUGACAUUCAUUGUCCCUGGAUUCAACUUCACUGGAUGACCGGUGUUCCCAGGUGUGCUGUCAGAUCUAGGCAAACUCAAACAGUCAGGUAGAAGCUCCAGGUGUUGUAGUCUGUACCCCUUCUUUGUUUGUUCUUUGUGAUGAUGUUUGUAAUUUUUGGUCUUCACCUUGUAACUUGUAGUUUGGAUCUUGGAUUCUUACUUGUCUUUCUUUUCCUCUUAGCAUCCAAUAGCACAUAUCUAAGGUUAUCAUCACGUGCUCUCGCUUCUUGUCCAUUUCCUUCCUCUUGGAGCCUCCUGAUUUUCUCCCUUUUUCCAUCCAUUCUGGUUGCUCAUAUUCUUCAUUAGCUUGCUUCUCUAUUUGGAAUAUGGUUCCACUCCUGGCUAUUUCCCCCCCAAGACAAGAUGCUAUAUCUAGGAAUAAGGACUCUCUUACUCGCAGGUGUAAUUAUUAUUUCUUUCCUUUACUUUUCUGUUAUGUUUUUUUCUCUGUUAUUCUUUGAAACCAAAAACUAAAUUCAUCUUCAUCAAUUGCUAAGAAUUAGACGAUCAACCUCUAUUUGAAAAUGAUGACAAUGCAAUGUUUUUCUCUUUUCACAAAACUGCAAACUUCAAUUGUAAAGAAAGUAAUUCUGAAGUAAAACUGCAAAUUUAAUUAUUCUAAUUUAAAGCAAGCAAAAUCAGAGCUGUUCAACCCAGCUGGUAAAUAAUUCAAAAACAAACACACUGUACUAAACUAAUAAAAGGUGAAAUCAACAAUGUCAAAAAUCAAUGUAAGAAUUAACUAAAAAAGAAUCUGUAUCAGUACUUGAUUAAAAAUUAAUCAAACAAAAAUAAAAGUCAAUUUAGCAAUUAACUGAAGAGUAAUCGUCUUCAGAAUCAAACCAAACAAAAAUGAAAAUUAAUUUCGAAAUUGACUCACGCAAUUAACUGUAUAUAUGAAUCAAUCAAAGAAAAUCAUAUGGCAUAAUCAGAAAAGCAGUUAAUUUUAGAUUAUAAGAUCAAGAUGCUAAGAUCAAAUGCAAAAACAAAACAGAUAGCCCCAAGACUGUUUACUUGUCAUCAACUGAUGACAGAAAUUAAUCCCGAGAUCAAAUGCAAGGAUCAGAAACAAACAGCAGUUAGCCUAAGAGUGUUAACUGAUAAUGCAAUUAAAAGAUGAAGAUACAAAGAUCAGAUCAGAUCAAAAACAAAUAGCAGUUAAUUCUACAGCAGUUUACUGAUAACAACUAAUGACAGAUCAAUUAUUUCACACUGUAAACUGUAAAGCUGCUACGUUGGUCAUUUUAAACCGCUUCAAAGUCAGUUCAAAAUUUCAAUUGUAAAUUUUUAGACUGUUAUUAAUCCUUUUUACCUCAAAGUGUAUAUUUUACUCCCCUUACCUCAGUCUCAAAUAGUACAUAUAUUUAUUCUUCUUAUUCUUACUCUUCCUAUAUUUAUUGUUGUUCUUUUGCACUGUAUAGAACUGGAGCCUGGUCUUCUCGUCUCUCUAUAUACUGAACUGUAUAUGGCAGAGAUGACAAUAAAGUUUACUUUGACUUUGACUUGAAUUGAAAGAUCAAAAUGCAAAAACGAAUACAAAACAAAUACCAGUUACUGCUAUAGCUGUUAAGUGAUUGCCAAACAAAAAUAAAUGUCAAUUUAAUAUUUAUCCUCAGAAACAUUUCAUUGUUUAUCAAACAAAACAAAGUCAAUGUUCCUCAUUAUCUGCUCCUUUCCUGGAAUGACAGAGAUCAUGACCACUACUCAUGCUAGUUCCUUCAUCUGGGUAGGAAUUUUCUCCAGGACCCAGGUCAGGUUCUUUUCAAAUAUUUAUCUAUUGGUAUUACACGCUGCAUCGUCUCACUGCAUGACUAUUGUGUAAUAUCUCCCUCGUCUUCUUCUGUUUUACUGGCAGUUGGCAACCCAUUUAAUUAGAGCAGGUAGUUGUACUGCCUUCUAGUGGAAGAGUACAACGAAUUAGAGUACGAAUCAGGUGGAACCAGAUAAUCUUCCACGGCACACCUGACCAUUUCUGACAGCACACCUAUGUGCCACAGCACAGUGGUUGAGAAACCCCGGUUCAGAGUAUGUAGAGUAUCAGAGUUGGUGCUUAAGAAAAAGCAGGAGGAUCUUAUGAAAUCAAAUGUGUUUUAUUAUUGGAAAUCUUAAUCCCUUACUUCUGUGGUUUAAUUGAUAUAUUGCAGUUUCUUGUUGUCACCUUAAACACAUGAUGUGUCUCCUCGUUCAGUUGGAGGAAUGUAACUUUAAUGUCUUUGUUUUUUUGUCUUGUGUAGUUCAUCGUGUUUGGAAUUGUCAGCAUUUUGUCUGACAACUAUCCAAGUCCAUGUCUGGUUAUCAUCAAUGUGAUUCUGAAUCUGACUGGGGUUGCUUUUGCCAUUGCAGCCAUUGUGCUGUAUAGCAUCAGUGUAUCUAAUAUAUAUUGGUCGGAAAUUUGUGAGGAAUGCUACGGCGGCGAAACAGUAAUUAUGGUAAGUGUAGGUAAGGGUAGUUCAGGUUAAAAUACCUAACUGACAAGUGGAAAAUAUACGGUUUUAAUUGUUUCGUAGAUAUGAUCACAGGUUUCUGCUUCUGAAAUCUGUGGAUUUGCAGCUGGUGAUCAGAUAAUAGUGUAUGUAGGUUUUUGACUGUAGGAUGAUGUUGCGAUCACAGUCACGUCUGUACAGAAGUCUCUGCCCGCUCUCCGUUCAAAGGGUCUGAGCCUGAGUCACAGGGGUAUUACUGCAAUAAAAUUGAACACUGUUGUUUGUAUCCCAACAGAUGCUCUACAGAAGCAUCAUUGCUGUGCUAAUUGUGCUGUCAGUCCUGGAGCUCUGUGUCACCAUCAGCUCAGUCGUCUUAGGGAUCAAGAGUCUGAAGAGCAAAGAAAAGGGACAAACCAAGAGCACUGAUGACCCAGAGCUCUACAAACCACUUCUAGAGGAAGAUACCACUGAGCCUACAGUCUGAAUGUAAUUGUGCUGUGAAGCAUUGUAAGCAUGGGCCUUUACAGCUUUGACUCUGUACUGCAACA